GACAGAGGGGGCAAGCGUUGCUCGGAAUCACUGGGCGUAAAGCGCGCGUAGGCGGCUUUGUAAGUUAGAGGUGAAAGCCCGGAGCUCAACUCCGGAACUGCCUUUAAAACUGCAUCGCUUGAAUCCAGGAGAGGUGAGUGGAAUUCCGAGUGUAGAGGUGAAAUUCGUAGAUAUUCGGAAGAACACCAGUGGCGAAGGCGGCUCACUGGACUGGUAUUGACGCUGAGGUGCGAAAGCGUGGGGAGCAAACAGG
This 253-nucleotide ribosomal RNA is filed under the name uncultured bacterium. Its description in RNAcentral is "partial 16S ribosomal RNA". It matches the Rfam family "Bacterial small subunit ribosomal RNA", at positions 524 to 776 of the family's 1533-position model. The record is from RNAcentral.